RNAcentral lists this ribosomal RNA (391 nucleotides) under uncultured bacterium. Its description in RNAcentral is "bacterial SSU rRNA". It matches the Rfam family "Bacterial small subunit ribosomal RNA", at positions 28 to 424 of the family's 1533-position model. The record is from RNAcentral.
GACGAACGCUGGCGGCGUGCUUAACACAUGCAAGUCGAGCGGUAAGGCCCUUUCGGGGGUACACGAGCGGCGAACGGGUGAGUAACACGUGGGUGACCUGCCCUCAGCUCUGGGAUAAGCCUGGGAAACUGGGUCUAAUACCGGAUAUGACUCCAUGACGCAUGUUGUGGGGUGGAAAGCCUUGUGCGGCUGAGGAUGGGCCCGCGGCCUAUCAGCUUGUUGGUGGGGUGAGGCCUACCAAGGCGACGACGGGUAGCCGGCCUGAGAGGGCGACCGGCCACACUGGGACUGAGACACGGCCCAGACUCCUACGGGAGGCAGCAGUGGGGAAUCUUGCGCAAUGGGCGAAAGCCUGACGCAGCGACGCCGCGUGAGGGAUGACGGCCUGGUU